Molecule: ribosomal RNA, 450 nt
Filed under: uncultured bacterium
Lineage: Bacteria
Description: partial 16S ribosomal RNA
Rfam family: Bacterial small subunit ribosomal RNA
Source: RNAcentral
GUGGGGAAUAUUGGACAAUGGGCGAAAGCCUGAUCCAGCCAUGCCGCGUGUGUGAAGAAGGUCUUCGGAUUGUAAAGCACUUUAAGUUGGGAGGAAGGGCAGUAAGUUAAUACCUUGCUGUUUUGACGUUACCGACAGAAUAAGCACCGGCUAACUUCGUGCCAGCAGCCGCGGUAAUACGAAGGGUACAAGCGUUAAUCGGAAUUACUGGGCGUAAAGCGCGCGUAGGUGGUUUUGUAAGUUGGAGGUGAAAUCCCCGGGCUCAACCUGGGAACUGCCUCCAAAACUGCAUGACUAGAGUACGGUAGAGGGUAGUGGAAUUUCCUGUGUAGCGGUGAAAUGCGUAGAUAUAGGAAGGAACACCAGUGGCGAAGGCGACUACCUGGACUGAUACUGACACUGGGGUGCGAAAGCGUGGGGAGCAAACAGGAUUAGAUACCCCUGUAGUCC